AUUCUUCAACCCUCCCUUUUCUUAGUGAAUUGAGAGGAGUUUGGAUUCUGAGUGUUGCUCCUAACCCGAGCUCAUUCGUAAUGUAUUAGCAUCCAUAUUCGAAUUUCGGAUUGACUUGGCGUAAUAGACUAUUCGCUGAGGAAUCUAACUUCGGUUAGAGCCGUGUUUGAACUAGGAAGCUUCUAAUCUAGCUUAGUCUACCUUUAG
This 207-nucleotide unclassified non-coding RNA is filed under the name uncultured Sporobolomyces. RNAcentral's name for it is "sequence contains ITS2". Lineage: Eukaryota; Fungi; Basidiomycota. The record is from RNAcentral.